UGUACUAGUUAUGUAAGUAUUGGUGUCUGC
Molecule: non-coding RNA, 30 nt
Filed under: Homo sapiens (human)
Lineage: Eukaryota; Metazoa; Chordata; Mammalia; Primates; Hominidae
Source: RNAcentral